UACGUAGGGUGCAGGCGUUAAUCGGAAUUACUGGGCGUAAAGCGUGCGCAGGCGGUUUGUUAAGACAGAUGUGAAAUCCCCGGGCUUAACCUGGGAACUGCGUUUGUAACUGGCAGACUGGAGUGUGGCAGAGGGGGGUGGAAUUCCAAGUGUAGCAGUGAAAUGCGUAGAUAUUUGGAGGAACACCGAUGGCGAAGGCAGCCCCCUGGGCUAACACUGACGCUCAUGCACGAAAGCGUGGGGAGCAAACAGG
This 253-nucleotide ribosomal RNA is filed under the name uncultured bacterium. RNAcentral's name for it is "partial 16S ribosomal RNA". It matches the Rfam family "Bacterial small subunit ribosomal RNA", at positions 524 to 776 of the family's 1533-position model. The record is from RNAcentral.